Molecule: ribosomal RNA, 253 nt
Filed under: uncultured bacterium
Lineage: Bacteria
Description: partial 16S ribosomal RNA
Rfam family: Bacterial small subunit ribosomal RNA
Source: RNAcentral
UACGUAGGGUGCGAGCGUUAAUCGGAAUUACUGGGCGUAAAGCGUGCGCAGGCGGUCUGUUAAGACCGAUGUGAAAUCCCCGGGCUUAACCUGGGAACGGCAUUUGGGACUGCAAGGCUGGAGUUUGGCAGAGGAGACUGGAAUUCCUGGUGUAGCAGUGAAAUGCGUAGAUAUCAGGAGGAAUACCGAUGGCGAAGGCAGGUCUCUGGGACGUUACUGACGCUGAGACGCGAAAGCGUGGGGAGCAAACAGG